RNAcentral lists this ribosomal RNA (219 nucleotides) under Lentibacillus persicus. RNAcentral describes it as "16S rRNA. Bacterial SSU". It matches the Rfam family "Bacterial small subunit ribosomal RNA", at positions 1 to 198 of the family's 1533-position model. Lineage: Bacteria; Bacillati; Bacillota; Bacilli; Caryophanales; Bacillaceae. The record is from RNAcentral.
CUUUUUUGGAGAGUUUGAUCUUGGCUCAGGACGAACGCUGGCGGCGUGCCUAAUACAUGCAAGUCGAGCGCGUGAAGCAGCGGGUCGCCCUUCGGGGCGCACCCCUGUGGAACGAGCGGCGGACGGGUGAGUAACACGUGGGCAACCUGCCUGUAAGACUGGGAUAACUCGCGGAAACGCGAGCUAAUACCGGAUAAUGCUCGUGGUUGCAUAAUCACA